UACCAGCACCCCGAGUGGUCGGGACGAUUAUUGGGCCUAAAGCGUCCGUAGCCGGCCUUACAAGUCCUCCGUUAAAUCCAGCUGCUUAACAGAUGGGCUGCGGAGGAUACUAUAAGACUAGGAGGCAGGAGAGGCAAGCGGUACUCAGUGGGUAGGGGUAAAAUCCGUUGAUCCAUUGUAGACCACCAGUGGCGAAGGCGGCUUGCCAGAAUGCGCUCGACGGUGAGGGAUGAAAGCUGGGGGAGCGAAUGGG
This 253-nucleotide ribosomal RNA is filed under the name uncultured bacterium. RNAcentral describes it as "partial 16S ribosomal RNA". It matches the Rfam family "Archaeal small subunit ribosomal RNA", at positions 474 to 727 of the family's 1478-position model. The record is from RNAcentral.